RNAcentral lists this small nuclear RNA (20 nucleotides) under Arabidopsis thaliana (thale cress). RNAcentral describes it as "snRNA_02103". The record is from RNAcentral. Lineage: Eukaryota; Viridiplantae; Streptophyta; Magnoliopsida; Brassicales; Brassicaceae.
UUACAAAAAGUUUUACUCUC